GACGAACGCUGGCGGCGUGCUUAACACAUGCAAGUCGAACGGAAAGGCCCUGCUUUUGUGGGGUGCUCGAGUGGCGAACGGGUGAGUAACACGUGAGUAACCUGCCCUUGACUUUGGGAUAACUUCAGGAAACUGGGGCUAAUACCGGAUAGGAGCUCCUGCUGCAUGGUGGGGGUUGGAAAGUUUCGGCGGUUGGGGAUGGACUCGGGGCUUAUCAGCUUGUGGGUGGGGUAGUGGCUUACCAAGGCUUUGACGGGUAGCCGGCCUGAGAGGGUGACCGGCCACAUUGGGACUGAGAGACGGCCCAGACUCCUACGGGAGGCAGCAGUGGGGAAUAUUGCACAAUGGGCGGAAGCCUGAUGCAGCAACCCCGCGUGCGGGAUGACGGCCUUCGGGUUGUAAACCGCUUUCGCCUGUGACGAAGCGUGAGUGACGGUAAUGGGUAAAGAAGCACCGGCUAACUACGUG
RNAcentral lists this ribosomal RNA (468 nucleotides) under uncultured bacterium. RNAcentral describes it as "partial 16S ribosomal RNA". It matches the Rfam family "Bacterial small subunit ribosomal RNA", at positions 28 to 507 of the family's 1533-position model. The record is from RNAcentral.